This 253-nucleotide ribosomal RNA is filed under the name uncultured bacterium. RNAcentral's name for it is "partial 16S ribosomal RNA". It matches the Rfam family "Bacterial small subunit ribosomal RNA", at positions 524 to 776 of the family's 1533-position model. The record is from RNAcentral.
GACAGAGGUGCCAAGCGUUAGGCGGAAUCACUGGGCUUAAAGCGUGUGUAGGCGGAUUCCUAAGUACCUUGUGAAAUCCCACGGCUCAACCGUGGAACUGCUUGGUAUACUGGGUGUCUUGAGCUACUUAGGGGCGACUGGAACAAAUGGUGGAGCGGUGAAAUGCGUUGAUAUCAGAAGGAACGCCGGCGGCGAAAGCGGCGCACUGGACCUUUUCUGACGCUGAGGCGCGAAAGCUAGGGGAGCAAACGGG